This 253-nucleotide ribosomal RNA is filed under the name uncultured bacterium. RNAcentral's name for it is "partial 16S ribosomal RNA". It matches the Rfam family "Bacterial small subunit ribosomal RNA", at positions 524 to 776 of the family's 1533-position model. The record is from RNAcentral.
UACGGAGGGGGCUAGCGUUGUUCGGAAUUACUGGGCGUAAAGCGCACGUAGGCGGCUUUGCAAGUUAGAGGUGAAAGCCCGGGGCUCAACCCCGGGUCGGCCGUGCGAACUGUCGAGCUGGAGCACUGUAGAGGCAGGUGGAAUUCCGGGUGUAGCGGUGGAAUGCGUAGAGAUCCGGAAGAACACCGGUGGCGAAGGCGGCCUGCUGGGCAGUGGCUGACGCUGAGGCGCGACAGCGUGGGGAGCAAACAGG